This is a long non-coding RNA of Stylophora pistillata, 1237 nucleotides long. The record is from RefSeq and is a predicted model, not a curated record. Lineage: Eukaryota; Metazoa; Cnidaria; Anthozoa; Scleractinia; Pocilloporidae.
UUGGAGAGCCAAUGACAGACCAGAGAUAGUGCAUAGAAUUCUUCUCAUCUGCACUCUCGGCGAUAACAUGAAUAAUGCAAACGAAAUGGUCACUAAAUCAGUUAUAAACUAGCCUGUACUCCAUCUUCUACGAGUUCGAAGUGCAUGGCCAAUUACAUGGGUAGUUCUUUCGUUUCUGUGUGUCUUUCCCCACUUUGACCAGGCCGAGGUGAUCUGUUCAUACCUUACUGAUAGGAAGCACCAAGAAAAGAUUCAACCAAAUAACUAUAAACAAUACUUCAGCUGCAAUUGGUAGCCCGUUUCUAGUGCGGUCUCUCAUUUGCCUGCCGGAAGAGGGGAAGGCAUUCAACAAAGACGAACGGAAAAUGAUGAGACAAAGUUUGAGUAUCUAUUACGAAAACAUUUUGCCUUUCAAUGAAUGGAUAUCAACAUGGUCUCGCAGGCCGCUUCUUGUUCCAGAAGCUAAAACAACAUAUUCUGACUACUGUUCUUACACAAGAAGAAACGGUUUUGCCCCAACACACCGUGGAAUUAACUUCCAGAUCUUAGAUUCAUUCUUGAAAAUGAUUGAAAUCGUUGUUUAAUGCUCGUUUAAAGUCUUCACGUAUUGGACAAUACAGAGAAAAUGAAGGCGUAUGCAUCUAGUGGAGGUCGAUUGAAAUCGACUAAGGAAAACGGAUAGCUAAAGCAGAACAGUUUUCUCUAGUAUCAAUGUGCUGCGAACAAAAUGAGACAAUGGGUUCACUUUUGCACCACUAGGCACUCCGAAGUAUUCAGUGACGAAAUAUUUUAGGGAAUUAGGUAUCAGUAAUUAUUGUUAAUCGUACAGAAUGUUUCUAAACUUGGGCACAGGACGACAUCCGAUGGAUUGGAAGCCUUAUUUGACCUUAUUUUUGAGUAGCUCUUACACUUUCUCAAUAGUAAAUGCGGUCCUACAAUAACUGACCACUAUUCCACUGAAAUAAAUACGUUAUUUACUAAAAACUCCCAGAAAAAAUUCUAAAAUAAUAUUAAACUGUCAAUUCAACGUAAUUACCAGUAUUCUUUAAAAUUUUAUAGUGAACGACCCUGUACUGUUUAAAUGUUUUAAAAGAAUCCAAUCAACUUCCGAAUGUUUAAGUCAAGCGUUUUUAAAUUUGAGAGAAAUUCAAGAGUUUCAUCGUUGUCAUUUGAAAAUCAGUUGAUGCAUGUCGUCCAGAAAUUAUGAUAAAUCAAGGAGUGCGCCCAGGCUACAGCU